AAACUUUCAGCAACGGAUCUCUUGGUUCUGGCAUCGAUGAAGAACGCAGCGAAAUGCGAUAAGUAAUGUGAAUUGCAGAAUUCAGUGAAUCAUCGAAUCUUUGAACGCACAUUGCGCCCGCCAGUAUUCUGGCGGGCAUGCCUGUCUGAGCGUCAUUUCAACCCUCAGCCCCCGUCCGCGGGGCGCUGGCGUUGGGGAUCGGCCGUCCU
This 209-nucleotide ribosomal RNA is filed under the name Emericellopsis fimetaria. RNAcentral describes it as "Stilbella fimetaria 5.8S ribosomal RNA". The stretch from base 2 to 155 matches the Rfam family "5.8S ribosomal RNA". Rfam says of the family: 5.8S ribosomal RNA (5.8S rRNA) is a component of the large subunit of the eukaryotic ribosome. It is transcribed by RNA polymerase I as part of the 45S precursor that also contains 18S and 28S rRNA. Functionally, it is thought that 5.8S rRNA may be involved in ribosome translocation. The record is from RNAcentral. Lineage: Eukaryota; Fungi; Ascomycota; Sordariomycetes; Hypocreales; Bionectriaceae.